GGCUUGAUAGGUCAGUUGGCAAGAGCAUUGCACCAGAAUUGCAAGGUCCUGGGUUCGAAUCCCGUCCAAGCCG
Desmophyllum pertusum is the source of this 73-nucleotide non-coding RNA. Lineage: Eukaryota; Metazoa; Cnidaria; Anthozoa; Scleractinia; Caryophylliidae. The record is from the annotation of a GenBank genome assembly.